AUUGAACGCUGGCGGCAUGCUUUACACAUGCAAGUCGAACGGUAACAGGCCGCAAGGUGCUGACGAGUGGCGAACGGGGGAGUAAUGCAUCGGAACGUGCCCCGUCGUGGGGGAUAACUACUCGAAAGAGGAGCUAAUACCGCAUACGAUCUAUGGAUGAAAGCGGGGGACCGUAAGGCCUCGCGCGAUUGGAGCGGCCGAUGUCAGAUUAGGUAGUUGGUGGGGUAAAGGCUCACCAAGCCAACGAUUUGUAGCUGGUCUGAGAGGACGAGCGGCCACACUGGAACUGAGACACGGCCCAGACUCCUACGGGAGGCAGCAGUGGGGAAUUUUGGACAAUGGGCGCAAGCCUGAUCCAGCAAUGCCGCGUGCGGGAAGAAGGCCUUCGGGUUGUAAAAUGCUUUUGUACGGAACGAAACGGCUCUGGUUAAUACCCGGGGCUAAUGACGGUACCGUAAGAAUAAGCACCGGCUAACUACGUG
Molecule: ribosomal RNA, 482 nt
Filed under: uncultured bacterium
Lineage: Bacteria
Description: partial 16S ribosomal RNA
Rfam family: Bacterial small subunit ribosomal RNA
Source: RNAcentral